UACGGGGGGGGCAAGCGUUGUUCGGAAUUACUGGGCGUAAAGGGCUCGUAGGCGGCCAACUAAGUCAGACGUGAAAUCCCUCGGCUUAACCGGGGAACUGCGUCUGAUACUGGAUGGCUUGAAUCCGGGAGAGGGAUGCGGAAUUCCAGGUGUAGCGGUGAAAUUCGUAGAUAUUGGGUGGAACACCGGUGGCGAAAGCGGCUCACUGGCUCGGUUCUGACGCUGAGGCGCGAAAGCGUGGGGAGCAAACAGG
RNAcentral lists this ribosomal RNA (253 nucleotides) under uncultured bacterium. RNAcentral's name for it is "partial 16S ribosomal RNA". It matches the Rfam family "Bacterial small subunit ribosomal RNA", at positions 524 to 776 of the family's 1533-position model. The record is from RNAcentral.